GAUGAAGAACGCAGCGAAUUGCGAUAAGUAAUGUGAAUUGCAGAUUUUCAGUGAAUCAUCGAAUCUUUGAACGCACCUUGCGCUCCUUGGUAUUCCGAGGAGCAUGCCUGUUUGAGUGUCAUUUAAUUCUCAACCAUCCCUCGAUUUGUUUCGAGGUUUGGCUUGGAUUUUGGGAGCUGCCGGGCGACCCUACGGUCUUCGGCUCUCCUUAAAAGCAUUAGCGAUGGUGGAACGACCUAACUCCAUGCAUGAACGGCCUUCGACGUGAUAAUGAUCGUCGUGGCUGGAGUGCUAGCGGGCGUCGUGAAGCCAGCGCUUCUAAAUCUCUCGUCGAAAGACGAAACUCGAAACUUGACCUCAAAUCAGGUAGGACUACCCGCUGAACUUAAGCAUAUCAAUAAGCGGAGGA
Molecule: unclassified non-coding RNA, 409 nt
Filed under: soil metagenome
Description: partial contains 5.8S ribosomal RNA, internal transcribed spacer 2, and large subunit ribosomal RNA
Rfam family: 5.8S ribosomal RNA (bases 1-121)
Source: RNAcentral